GUGCCAGCCGCCGCGGUAAUACGUAGGGGGCAAGCGUUGUCCGGAUUUAUUGGGCGUAAAGAGCGUGUAGGCGGUCAGGUAGGUCGGUUGUGAAAACUGGAGGCUCAACCUUCAGAGGUCGACCGAAACCCCCUGGCUAGAGUCCGGGAGAGGAGAGUGGAAUUCCUGGUGUAGCGGUGAAAUGCGCAGAUAUCAGGAAGAACACCCGUGGCGAAAGCGGCUCUCUGGAACGGUACUGACGCUGAGACGCGAAAGCGUGGGGAGCGAACAGGAUUAGAAACCCUGGUAGUCC
RNAcentral lists this ribosomal RNA (292 nucleotides) under uncultured bacterium. RNAcentral describes it as "partial 16S ribosomal RNA". It matches the Rfam family "Bacterial small subunit ribosomal RNA", at positions 505 to 796 of the family's 1533-position model. The record is from RNAcentral.